Molecule: long non-coding RNA, 613 nt
Organism: Orcinus orca (killer whale)
Lineage: Eukaryota; Metazoa; Chordata; Mammalia; Artiodactyla; Delphinidae
Exons: 3
Source: RefSeq, a predicted model, not a curated record
CAGAUCUAUGGAAUAGAUACUAAUAUAUAAUAGCUGGAUCUUCUGUAUUGAAUGCUAGAUGGGUAUUUGUGUGCUGGUAAUCUUAUUUGACAAGUCCAGAGAAAAAGAAUUAUAUCACUCCUCACUAAAUGCAAUUCUGGUGAUGCUUUCUUAUUCCUGAGAGCAAGUGAGGAUGGAGCCAAGAUCUGGUAAAUACUGGGCUUGAAGACCCAGGGGACAGGCUGGAGAUUUGGAAUUGCUGAGGACAGAGAACCAGAACCAAAUUCCUUGUCCAGAGCCCAGUUACUGAAAGGAAAGGGCCUAGAAAUGACACAGUUUCACCAGGAUCAAAGACCGUGGCACCAGCCAGGUCAAACAGAGGGACAAAUUGGCAGGAUUUUCUAUUUAAAAGGUGAAUCUUGGGCUUCCCUGAUGGCGUAGUGGUUGGGAGUCCGCCUGCCGAUGCGGGGGACACGGGUUUGUGCCCCGGUCCGGGAAGAUCCCACAUGCCGCGGAGCAGCUGGGCCCAUGAGCCAUGGUCGCUGAGCCUGUGCGUCCGGAGCCUGUGCUCCGCAACGGGAGAGGCCGCAACAGUGAGAGGCCCGUGUACCGCAAAAAAAAAAAAAAAAAAGGU